AUUGAACGCUGGCGGCAGGCCUAACACAUGCAAGUCGAGCGGAGCGGCGGACGGGUGAGUAAUGCCUAGGAAUCUGCCUGGUCGUGAGGGAUAACGUCCGGAAACGGGCGCUAAUACCGCAUACUCUCAGAUGAGCCUAGGGCGGAUUAGCGAGUUGGUGGGGUAAAGGACUACCAAGGCGACGAUCCGUAACUGGUCUGAGAGGAUGAGCAGUCACACUGGAACUGAGACACGUUCCAGACUCCUACGGUAGGCAGCAGUGGGGAAUAUUGGACAAUGGGCGAAAGCCUGAUCCAGCCAUGCCGCGUUUGUGAAGAAGGUCUUCGGAUUGUAAAGCACUUUCAGUUGGGAGGCGUUACCAACAGAAUAAGCACCGGCUAACUUCGUGCCAGCAGCCGCGGUAAUUC
Molecule: ribosomal RNA, 407 nt
Filed under: uncultured bacterium
Lineage: Bacteria
Description: partial 16S ribosomal RNA
Rfam family: Bacterial small subunit ribosomal RNA
Source: RNAcentral